UGCCACUCUUUGACUCUCUGCUUUCUGAUGG
RNAcentral lists this non-coding RNA (31 nucleotides) under Mus musculus (house mouse). Lineage: Eukaryota; Metazoa; Chordata; Mammalia; Rodentia; Muridae. The record is from RNAcentral.